UACGUAGGAAGCGAGCGUUAUCCGGAAUUACUGGGCGUAAAGCGCGCGUAGGUGGUCUUUCAAGUCGAAUGUGAAAUUUCCCGGCUUGACCGGGAAGGGUCAUUUGAUACUGUUGGACUAGAGAGCGGCAGGGGGAAGCGGAAUUCCCGGUGUAGUAGUGAAAUGCGUAGAUAUCGGGAGGAACACCAGUGGCGAAGGCGGCUUCCUGGGCUGUUUCUGACACUGAGGCGCGAAAGUGUGGGUAGCGAACAGAAUUAGAUACUCUGGUAGUCCACACCGUAAACGAUGGGUACUAGGUAUAGGGAGUAUCGACCCUCUUUGUGCCGAAGCUAACGCUUUAAGUACCCCGCCUGGGGACUACGGCCGCAAGGCUAAA
RNAcentral lists this ribosomal RNA (376 nucleotides) under uncultured bacterium. Its description in RNAcentral is "bacterial SSU rRNA". It matches the Rfam family "Bacterial small subunit ribosomal RNA", at positions 524 to 898 of the family's 1533-position model. The record is from RNAcentral.